GAUGAAGAACGUAGCGAAAUGCGAUAAGUAAUGUGAAUUGCAGAAUUCAGUGAAUCAUCGAAUCUUUGAACGCACAUUGCGCCCGCCAGUAUUCUGGCGGGCAUGCCUGUUCGAGCGUCAUUACAACCCUCAGGCCCCCGGGCCUGGCUUUGGGGAUCGGCGAGGCGCCCCCCGCGGGCACGCGCCGUCCCCCAAAUACAGUGGCGGUCCCGCCGCAGCUUCCAUUGCGUAGUAGCUAACACCUCGCAACUGGAGAGCGGCGCGGCCAUGCCGUAAAACACCCAAUUUCUGAAUGUUGACCUCGAAUCAGGUAGGAAUACCCGCUGAACUUAAGCAUAUCAAUAAGCGGAGGA
Molecule: unclassified non-coding RNA, 353 nt
Filed under: soil metagenome
Description: partial contains 5.8S ribosomal RNA, internal transcribed spacer 2, and large subunit ribosomal RNA
Rfam family: 5.8S ribosomal RNA (bases 1-120)
Source: RNAcentral